CCCCGAACGUCAGCUGGAGAUCGAGGGUUUGCUGAAGGAGCUGGAGAGGCUGCAGGCUCAGCUGGACGACCUGUCUGCAUGGGCCGCCAGCACCAGAGGCAAACUGGAGCAGAGCCCAGAGGAGCCUCCCCAACGGGUAACCACAACCGCCAACCAACUAUAACCAACUAACCACCACUACAGCCUGCUUCAGCGUUUAAUAUACACACUCCAGUUCCUCUUGAAAUUAGCGAUUCACCAAGCAUUUUUUUUGUGUUGUUUGUGUGCCCUUAAGUUGAUGGAGGAAGUGCAAGCCCGGAAGCCUGACGUGGAGUUUGUUUUGGAAAGAGGCGAGCAGCUCUUUAAGGAUAUCCCUCCCGGCCGGGCCGACAAGGUGAAGUUUGACAAGCUGAAAGAAGACUGGCUGAUCAUAAUGGAGCUCCUACGGCAGCAUAAAGAGAGAAAGGACCUUCUUGCAUCCAAAAAAUCAGUACGUUUACAUGACUUAAUCCUGCCCUUAAAAAUGAAAUAAAA
This 513-nucleotide long non-coding RNA is filed under the name Neogobius melanostomus (round goby). RNAcentral describes it as "lncRNA (ENSNMLG00000019842.1)". Lineage: Eukaryota; Metazoa; Chordata; Actinopteri; Gobiiformes; Gobiidae. The record is from RNAcentral.